This is a non-coding RNA of Rattus norvegicus (Norway rat), 8746 nucleotides long. NCBI's taxonomy places the organism in Eukaryota, Metazoa, Chordata, Mammalia, Rodentia, Muridae. The record is from RefSeq and is a predicted model, not a curated record.
CACUGUGGGUAAGCAGUGAUGGUCACCGUGUAGUCAUUUAUAUUCUUAGUAGAGAUGGUCGGGGGUGCAUUGGUGGCUUCUACUAGCUGACUUAGAGCAGAGAGCUGAUCUGUAGGUGUGUGGGCUUCCUGGGAGCCAUGUCUUUCUCUUUCCUUCCCCAAGAAGCUUCCUUUUCUCUGGGCAGGAGACUCUUAUCCAGAGAGCACUUUAUAAGAAGGGUCCCCAUGUGUCUUACCUGGGAGUCAAGAAAGGCUAUUUAACGCCAGGGGCAAAACUGCACAACAGCCAGGCUGGGGUGGGGGUGGAACAGGACCUCCUCAUUCGGAAGGCCCUGACAGCAGGGUGUAGAGGUUCAGCCUUGAUAUUUGGCUGACAAAGAUGCUCAUUAGACCGGAGAACUGAGCUGUGAGCUCAGGUUGGAAGAUCAAGGCAUUUUAGCGCGGGGAGCGGAGUCCCUAAGCCUAUAAUGUGCUCACUCUUUCUCUACCCCAUGCUUCCCCAAUGAUGUUAGUUAAUAUGGGCAGUCUGAAUAACCUUGUUUCCUCCUUACAUCCAUGCCUAUAAAAGGAGGCUACGUUAUCCCAAUUGCCCAUAAUUCAUCACACCACAUUCCCCUCCAUCUGGAGGCUUAUACAACUGUUGAAAAGUUGUCACUAUAACCUAUUGUCAUUGCAACCUUUUAUGAACCAGCCUACAUUUUUAUGUCAAAAAUUUAUCUUAAUGGCCUCACAGCUCUUACCUCCAAUUAUUCCAGUGUCAUCGACCUCCAGCUCAGCCUGCAUUCCAGCUAAGAUGUGAGAACAAAUUCCCUCUUCAGCUCUCCCCUAACCCUGCACUUAAAAUAGGAGAAAAUCUCCGGGCGAGUGUGCUGCCUUGCCUGAAGUGGUACAUGCCUGCAGAACAUAAGAGGGACCCAAAAGGAAGGCCACGGAACGAGGCACCUGGGCAGCUGAGGUUGAACACAGAGCUAUGCUAGGCAGCCGUGUGGUGGGGUGAGGGACAUGGAAUCUAGGUGCGGGCACAGAGGCCAGGAUCCUGUGUCUUUUAUUUUAAAAUGGCAGACAGAAACACACACUCUCUCUGGCUACAGUAUGGAGGGUACCAGAAGAAGAAAAAAAAACCCACAUUUGCCAUUGAGAGGAGUUCUGGCACUCAUAUUUAGAAGUCAUAUGUUUUUCUAAAAUGCAUCGUCUGUGUCCAGGUAUACACACACACACACACACACACACACACACACACACACACACACAGUUUAGAAUAUAGGCAAUCAUAAUUACUUAUAAUGUAAAAAUCAAUAGUGACUGUUAGGAAUAAUGAUCAUUUACAAUAUGAUGUAUAAAACAUUAUUUUUAAUAUUUUAAACAUACAAAAUAUAUAUUAAGGUAUACUAUAAAUAUCAUAUAUGAGGCUACGCCAUUGCUUUAGGAGUUGAGGAUUCCUGAAAGUGUGGCUACAGAAGCAGACACCCCCUCCCACGACUUGUCCUCUUUGUUAGUGUUGAUGAAAAAGGCCCUGGCUUUCUCAUUUGAAGAGCUCCUUGACAUUUUUUUUUGUAGCUCCUCGUGAAGUCCAUUUUAUUUUCUUCCCUUAAUAGGAAAUGCUAAGCAGCUAAGAACGCACUCAAAGACACAGGCAAGGUAGGGGCGCCCAUGGCCCUGAACCUGCAGCUGGAGGCCAGGCCAGCGUCCCUGAUGCCAGCUUCACUGUUUCAAAUGGAAAUCAGCAUUGCCCUUUUCUCUGCCUCCACCUGCUCCAGGGCCUCAGCUUCAGGAAUGAGCAACCCUGGAACUGGGAAGGAUGCUUGGGAUAAGAGCCAAGGUUUCUUAGGGCCCUUCUCUAAGCAAGCUCGGUGGGUGGACGGUGGCAGCUUCUGAGGGGUGGCAUGCCACACUCGGCAUUUUCAUUCCCAUGCUACCUGUCCCCCUUCCUGUCCCAUGAGCCACCAGACACCUUGUAGUGCUCAGGAUUAGCCAUUGUGGUCUAUCAGGCUCCCCAUACGCAAACUGCAAGUAGGGUAACCCAGGUUCUCAGAACGGUAAGAGGCCCCAGUUCAUUUGGGUAUGGUGGUGUAAGCCUAUUAGCUUAGCAUGUGGGAGGCUGAGGCAGGAGGAUCAUGAGAUCAAAGCCAGCCUGGAUUACAUGAUGGGACCCUGUCUACCAUAUCAAAACAGCAAAGCUGAAGCCUUCCCACGGAUUUGCAGGCUGCGAGUCUCCAUGUGCCUCCAGAGUCGUCUCUGCCGCAGAUGCUGUUACCAGCUGAUACCAGCGAGGGGCAAUGAUCUUUGUGUUCUGUGACUGUGUGGCGCUAAUGGCUCUCAGACAGCCAGGCUUGGCUGCAGAGGUCCUGUGCAUCAUGGGAUGCGAAUUCAAGCAAGGAAGGGGUGUGUGCGCUUGUGCAUGGUUGUGUAAGCAAGUGCGUGUGCUCUUACGGUUCAGGGAAAGUCACUCGAAUUUGUAUGUAUUUUUUGCGUAUGGUAAGCAUUUGCACUUUGUCUGGGAUCGGGUCUGCCCUGAGUUCAAGUUCUUGUAAGGGUCUUUGCCUUACGGAUGAUCCGAUCCAAAAGAAAAAUUCCCCUAACCCUCAGUUUUUCAUCUUAAAAUAGUGGUGAUGAUCACCUGGCCCGCAGGAUUCAAUGCUAAUACGUGCGAGGCACUUACUCACACCUGGCAGGUAGUAAAGAGGCAACAAAUGCCAACCACCGCCACGGCUGCUCCUCUUUACGGCUUCGCUUGCACAGUCUGGUGCUGAUCGCUGCCGAGGAUGCUCUUUCCAGAUCCGCGUCCUCUGGAGCGGCCCGGCCUCCUCUCUCACUGACUAGAGCCUCAUUCUGCACCUCAGAACCCAGGCAAGAACUAUUCCAGAGAGGGUAUAAAAGCCCUGAGCUGUACGGCAGGGGUGUGGAAGGAAGCAGGAGGAGGACUCCAGUCUAUAGAAGAACCUACCUAUCCAUCCAUCUCAGGUCAGGGCUAGAGGGAACCUUGUAGACUCUUGUUUUAGAAAUGGGCAAUAGUCCUGGUGAGUUUGAGACCCAACCUUGAGGAGUUCGCUGCCCUAGUUCUUCAUCUCUUGCUUUCCCUAACAGGGACUCCCUUGUUGGGUUUGGUCCAAAUCUCCCCCAGGAUUUUAGAGCCCCAGUUCUUCCCCUGUCACCCAUUCGUAUGGUCUCAUCUUUCUCAGAGAGCAGUACCCUCUGCUCCUGCUUGCUUGGUGGACUUUUUUUUUUCCCCAGCCGUCAUGCUGUCCUUCCGCUCCUCUGUCUGCCUUUAGGAUAGCUGUGAUGUCUGCUGGAGCUGUCGCCAUAGCUAUAGGUGGCCUUAUUUUGCUCUCUGACCUUUGUUGUGGCUUGUCUAUCUCCAUGGCAGGAUUACAGGGCCUUUGUGGUACGAGGCAGAGUGGCAAAAAUAGUACCUUUGAGGGUGCAGUAGGGGGCACUGUCUCUUCCCAGCGAUGUCAACCUCCUCAUCUGAUCUAUAGGGAAAAUGGCCUACAGAUGCCUGAUUGCAUUUUUUUUUUUUUUUUUGGUUGAAAGUAUCUUCUGACUACUUUAAAUCUGCUUCUGUGCUCCACAAGGACCCCGCCUCCCCAAAGUAGAGUCUCUGUACAAUGGAGUGAGCCAGUCAACUCUCAGUGGUAUUUCACUUCCUGUUUCAGGGGGAAGAGGCUCUUUUGCCCUUAGUCCUGCUGGUUUCUAAACAGUGUAGAGACGCGCUAGGCCCCCAGGCUCCUAGAUGGCUGAUUCAGUCCACAAGUGACUCUCUGUCAGCACCAAGGUAAGGAGGCAGGAAAUCUGAAAGGGGACUAAAGUAUGCACCUGCAAUUUCCUCUUUCUUUACACCCUCCUGGGAAGCUGGCUUCUGAGACAAGUCUUGCUAUUGUGCGUGGGAGAUGCUCUGCCCCCUAUUCAGAAGGAGAUGCCUGACAGCAGUGUGCUCCCCUAAACACUAACUCAUUUCCUCUUCUCCUUGAUGCAGAAGGAUGACUCAGCAUGAGGAGGCCUGCUUUCUGUUUAUACGUAAGCUUUGGUGUGUUCAAGGACAGUUGGCCUGGUCCUUGACAGAUCCCCAGGAGGCUGCCAGUAACUCUGUCUGCUGCUCUCUGACAUGAGCAUGAAGAUGUUCAGGUGAUAAGGAUGUCUCAUCCUCUCCCCGGGGACACAGCUACUAGGAAACAGGCUUUCUGCUUGGAGACUGAAGCUCCCAGGGGCUCGCUGGUAACUGGAAGAGGACUCAAGAAAACCUCUGCAGAAUGAAGCUGGCGCCAUUUAGAUCUAAUAUGCUUUUAAUCGGAUGUUUGCCCUAAGGGACAGCUUCUUGUGUGUGUCCAAGCAGAGGGUACCCGAAGCCCUGGGAGAGCCCCCGAGUGUGAUACUGCUGCCCUGUCACAGGCCUGCUGCCCGGCUGGUGGGUGAGGGCAUUCUAUCAUACACACAGCACAGUUUAAAACACCAAUCAGCAUCUCUUCUCCAUGGCAACCACAAACAGCCUGUAUGUUCCAGAGGCUAUGCUGGCAGCAGACAUAAACCCAGUGGCAUGAAACAAUGUCCUCGUCACAAACAACAUCAAGCACGCAAACAUCUCACGGAUGCAUCUGAGGAGGAAGCUACCUCAGGAAAGUCAUGCGUCGGCAAGGACGGUCAUGGAGUCGCCAUAUGAUUGGGUCACCAUCUCGCCAUGAUCCAAGAACACACAACUUAUUGGUAUGACAGCCUUCCCAACAGAGACGAGAUGGAGAGGCGAAAUGGGAGGGAACGGAGAACCUCGGCAGAGGCAAGCCCAUGAUGUAAGAGCUCAUGAGGUCGAAUGACUUCAGCACAUCUGAAUGAAUUCCCGGUGCUGGGUGACACCGGCCUGCUCUUGUCUAGGUGCUCACCGGCAAACCGAAGUUAGGAAAAGUGAUGGGCAGAGGAAGUCUACCUACCAGGACAUACCAAACACUCCGUCUCUGUUGUGGUAAACGAUGACUUUAAUUUACAAAGCAGAUGAAUACUAAAUCUUCAUGAAAUUAAAAACUAUAUUAUUUAUGUGAGCGGAAACGGAAAAUGUUCCGUAGCUAGCGGCAAUCCCGCUUUGUAGGAGGGACACCAAAAUAAUUAAAACCACUCGUGCUUCAGUAAUAAAUAAUGAUAAUAAAUAAAUGUCCUGACCUUAAGCGAAAAUAUAAAAUUAAAACCCAUUUGGUAUGUAAAUUCAUUCAGGACGAUAGCAAGGCUUCCAGCCCAAGACGGUGUGGAAUGGCAGGAGUGUUCACUACAUGAAUUUUGAAAGGAAAAAAAAAAAUCAAAGAACAACAGCAUUGUAUGUGUAUCAACUCAUUAUCCUACUCUAAUUCCAUCUAAUGCUGUGUGGAGCCUCGAGGCUGGGACAUUAAUUUCCUGCGUUUUCUGUUCCACCAAUUCCUCAUGGAGGGCAGCAGGAAGAAUUGCACUCCUGGAGGCUGAAAUCAGGGGAGGCCAGAACACGGCAGGAGAGGCAGGCAGAGAAUGGGAGGAUCGGAAGGCAGUUUUUGACAUGUUCACAGAGACAAUCGGAAAAGAUAUUGGCACUGCCUGGCAGAGCGCUGGCUGCUGUGAGUUCUGGAGACCUUGGAAUACGGACCAUCCAGCUGGAAUGAAAUGUCCCCAGUCUUGGGUCCAGGGUGACAACAGUUCCAGGGCAGGAAGUCUGAGGACAGUCUUAAUUUGGGGGAAUAUCGAUCGGUUCCAGAUGCAGAUGCCCUUCCCUCUGAUGGCUGAUUGUCCCGCUAUACAGUCUAACUGCUGCGUGUUCCAUGAAGCCUGCUCUUGAAGCCCCACCCUUCCCAGGUCAGGCUAGUAUAGUAACAGGGCGACUGUUACUUGCGCUGGGUGGAAAGCUCGGAUGCUGUCGAUGCCAGGGUCUGAGGCACUUACCAGCAGGCUUCUCCUUUGGACCAUCCUCUAAGGGCUACGACCCACAGCCUCUCAUUCCAAUCUCGUUACUACCUUGUGAGGUAGGGCAGAGGUGGUUGUUUGCCUCUCACAUUUAGGGAAACCGAGGCACUGAGCCCACAGUUGAGGAAAUGGCAGGGAAGGUAUUGGUGCCUUGUAUCAGGCCUGAAUUCUCCUUUAUCAGAGACUUCUAAAACCCUCAAAGGAAGGCUUAUUUAUGGACAAUAAGCAUUUAGGGGAUUACAUGUGUCUCAGUUGCAGCCUGGUUCUCCUGUCCCUUAUAUUUAAACCGAGGUUCCUUUUCUGGAAUUCAGUAUUUCUAAGCUAAGUAGGAAAAAUUGCACACAGGGCCCGUCUUAGGGUUUUACUGCUGUGAACAGACACCAUGACCAACGUAUGUUGUCUUACAAGAACAACACUUGGGGCUGGCUUACAGGUCCAGAAGUUCAGUCCAUUAGCAUCAAAGUGGGGCCAUGGCAGCAUCCAGACAGUUAUGGUGCUGGAGGAGCUGAGAAUUCCACCCCUUUUUCCAAAAGCAAACAGGAGAAGACUGGCUUCCAGGCAGUUAGGGUGAGGUUAUUAAAGCCCAAGCUCACAACAACACACCUACUCCAACAAGACAACAUCUACUCCAACAAGGUCGCACCUCUUAAUAGUGCCACUCCUUGGGACAAGCAUAUUCAAACCAUCCUAGAAUCAUUUUCACUGUGUUUCAAAGUCUGAAUUUUGUGUGUUGAUACAACUAUGCAGGCAGCAGACUCCUUGGACCAUCCUGGCCCUGGCCUCCUGUCUCCUAGUGCCCCCUUAGCACCUCUCCCUCUCACAACUGUUCCAAAGGAGUAGUGGGAUGUACCACUCUGAGAAUCUCUUGUAAGUAUCACGUGUCAAUAAAAAAGCCAAUAGCCAAUGAGCUGAGGCAGGAAAUAGGAGGUGGGACACUGGCAGGAAGAGAGAGGAUUCUGGGAAAUAGAAUAUAAGCAAGAGAUUCACCUGGGAACACUGGGGAGAAGGACGUAAACCAAGAGGGAUCUGAACUUGGGGUAGAAUGGAGAAGAGACUAGGGAGAGAUUCAAGGGAGAGACUGAGAAGACACAAAAAGAGGAGACUCGAAGAAAGAAGCAGUCUGGGACUGAGGGGCAGGUAACUAACCAGGUGGUAGACAGAGAAUAGUUUGAAUGGGUUAAAUAAGUUAGGAGCUGGUCAGGGAAAGUAAGCAAAAGCUAUGACCUAGGCAUUUAUAAUAAAUAAUUGGUCUCAGAGUCAUCAUUCUGGGAGCAGGGGCUGAGAGAAAAAUGGACUUUAUUAUUUUUUUUACACCACCCCACCCUAAGAAAUAGAGACCCCCAAAACUAUGCUCUUCAAGGGGACCCAGGAUCACCCCGGCACGUUGGGGAGACAGGGCCUCAAGGAGAGAGAAGGGUCUGUAUGACCACCCAAAAACGACCAUGUUCAUCUCUGAUGUGGACUGCCAGUCUUUUAGGCGGAGAAGAAUGGAAGAAAUCUAAUCCACAGCCCGCCCACGCCCCCAUGUCUGAAUAACACAGGUUUGUUGUGAAAACUCAGGGCUGUGACUGAUUUUCUGCAUUUUUGAACCAGAGAGUGGAAACCACUGACCAGUCCGGACGCCUCCAUCCGAGGCUCCCUGGGGAUCGGAAUGUUCUUUGUCCAGCCAAGGACUCCUGGAAAUCCCCUUCCACCAGAAAGCUGAAGUAACUUCCAAUUUGGGGGAUGUUAAAUGUCCUCGCCUGCUUCUACCUGGUCAUUUCCCUGUGAUUCCACAAUGAAUCCAAAGGCCAUUGUGCUUGAUUUGGAAAAACAAUGUCCCCGAAGAGUCAGGAGGACUUUAAAUGCGGACAGCCUGGCACAGCCUAACACGUGCUCACUGGGGCCGUGGUCUGAGUGCUUCCCCUCAAGAUCUAGCGUACUCCAAGGCGACAGUGUGUGAAGAUGGGGGCUUUGUUGGUGCUUAUGUCAGGAGUGUGGAGCCUUCCUGAAGAGGAUUAGGACCCUACGCCAGGUUUUGACAUACCCAGGAGGUACCAUAUUGGAAGGAAAGGGCCUCUCUUGAACAUUAACUGUGCUAAUGCCCUGAUCUUGGACUCUCUGGUUUCUAGAAUGUAUGUGAUUUACAAGUCACCCAGCCUAAGAUAUUUUGCCAUAGCUCCAGGGCGUGGCUACCACACAGACAACUCUGAUAUCUGUUAAGUCUCAAACUGACCUCCCAUCUUGGCAUCUCUAACUUCUUUUCCUGGGUUAAUAUUUCAUCUUCCUGAGAGUUCCUUUUUUUAAAAAGAUUUAUUUUUAUUUAAAAAAAAAAUACAUGCGUAUGUUUGUAUGUGUACAUGUAAGCGCAGGUACCCACAGAGUCCAGAAGGGGGCGCUGUGUCCUCUGGAAUUGGAGCUACAGGCAGUUAUGAGGUAUCUAGUGUGGGUGAUCGGGUCUGAACUUGGAUUCUCUACAAGAGCAGUACGUACUUUUUUUGUUUUUGCUUUUUUGAGACAGGGUUUCUCUGUGCAGCUCUGGCUGUUCUGGACCAGGCUGGCCUUGAACUCAGAGAUCCAUCUGCCUCUUCCUUCUGAGUGCUGGGAUUAAAGGCGUAAGCCACUAUGUCGAACUACGCAGUAUGUAUUUUUAGCUAGACUUGGCUUUUUUUUUUUAAAAUCGUAUCUGUCUCUGUGUAGUAUCAAGAAAGUACAAAGGCAGAGGCUUGGUUCCAUUCCAGUUCUUAAUGCCCAGUAAAAGGAGGAGAUGCCUAUGUAGAGUCCGCAUAAACAAAUGAACGUUCUCUUAGAGCUCCACCACCCUUCCCCAAAUAAAGAACACUUCGAUUUGCUGCUCA